UCCUUCCCCUGCGCACCCACACCCACCCUCAGAACCCCCUUCCCAGCCACAUCCACAAACAGAAGGGGAGAAAGCCUCUCUCCUUCCUGAUGGGUCUCCGUGAAGCUGUCGCUCUGUAAGGAUGCGGCCCAUGGCUGCUUGCAGGGGGCAGGGAGCGCGUGUUCUGCACUCUCAGCAGAUUGGAAGGACUGAGUCCAAGCAGGUGUAUUAAUAGAAGCUGGGCUCUAGAGGCUAGGGUGGUUUAUCAUAUGCCUCUAAACCCUGGAAACAACAGGAAUCUCGCGCAGGGGAAGCAGCAGGAGAGAGACUGCUGAGCCAGUCAAUAUCUGAAAACGCAAACAGCAGACACUGGACGUGAGGGACAGACUGGGGGACUUACACCAGAAGGGGGUCUUGGAUCAGCACGUGGUUGGAAUCAGAGAAAUCGAUCUCAAACCACCACCACCCUGCAGGCCCCCUAUGGGAUCCCCGUGGGACAGAAAAGGCUCUCCACUGUAGACGGAGCUGGAGAGAAACCAUGCUCGUUUCAAGAGCAAAGCAGAGGGACAGUGGAGCAGCCCAUUGGGCACAGAAAGGUAAGGGACAUCCCUGCUAAAAUAACUCCGUGCUACAGAGGAAAAGCGGCUAACUGUAACACAGUCAGGCUGGGUUACGCUGCAUAGAUUGGGCUCACCAAUCCGGGUACUGAGAAGUUUACCCUGAGCCUGGACUCCUUGCAAGAACCUCGAAACAGGUCUAGCAGAAGACAGAGGCAACAGCAGGUGGUGAAAAGCCACAGGCACGUGUGCAGGAGUUCCCCAGUCACAGAGCCCACUUGGAGCGGAUCAGAAAGCAAGCAGGCACCAUCUGAAAUCAAGCCACCUGCGUUGGCCUCUUAACACCAGAGGGACACAAGCAAUUAUUAACUUGCCAAUAAUCAGACACAUCAUGAACCCAGGGCCUAAAACUCCGUUUGCUGUCAUUGCUGAAGAGGCCAUCGGCGGGAGUAGGGUGAAGCUGUUCUGGUGUAAGUGGCACAGGCCAUUACUGUACAGAUGGACUGCGGUUUUCCAUAGCUGACACGAUGACUCAGACGCCGAAGUCCAGGCUGGUGACUAGGAAGGACAAACAGGUGUCUGGGGCGGAGCCAGCUGCCCCACAAGUGAAGACAGGAAUUUUCACCUAGGCAGCAUUUUUCAUCUGAGAAUCUCAAAGGAAUCUUCAAGCUCCCCAUUUCUGGGACUACCAGUGAGUCCUCAAGCAAAACCAGGAGAGACCAGACAGACGUACC
Molecule: long non-coding RNA, 1270 nt
Organism: Chrysemys picta bellii (western painted turtle)
Lineage: Eukaryota; Metazoa; Chordata; Testudines; Emydidae
Source: RefSeq, a predicted model, not a curated record